GUGAGUAACGCGUGAGAAUCUGCCUCUAGGACGGGGACAACAGAAGGAAACUUCUGCUAAUCCCGGAUGAGCCGCAAGGUGAAAGAUUUAUCGCCUAGAGAUGAGCUCGCGUCUGAUUAGCUAGUUGGUAAGGUAAAAGCUUACCAAGGCAACGAUCAGUAGCUGGUCUGAGAGGAUGAUCAGCCACACUGGGACUGAGACACGGCCCAGACUCCUACGGGAGGCAGCAGUGGGGAAUUUUCCGCAAUGGGCGCAAGCCUGACGGAGCAAGACCGCGUGGGGGAGGAAGGCUCUUGGGUUGUAAACCCCUUUUCUCAGGGAAGAACCAAAUGACGGUACCUGAGGAAUCAGCCUCGGCUAACUCCGUGCCAGCAGCCGCGGUAAUACGGAGGAGGCAAGCGUUAUCCGGAAUGAUUGGGCGUAAAGCGUUCGUAGGUGGCUAUUCAAGUCUGCUGUCAAAGACAGAAGCUCAACUUCUGAAAGGCAGUGGAAACUGAGUAGCUGGAGUGCGGUAGGGGCAGAGGGAAUUCCCGGUGUAGCGGUGAAAUGCGUAGAGAUCGGGAAGAACACCGGUGGCGAAAGCGCUCUGCUGGGCCGCAACUGACACUGAGGGACGAAAGCUAGGGGAGCGAAUGGGAUUAGAUACCCCAGUAGUCCUAGCUGUAAACGAUGGAAACUAGGUGUUGCCUGUAUCGACCCAGGCAGUGCCGUAGCUAACGCGUUAAGUUUCCCGCCUGGGGAGUACGCACGCAAGUGUGAAACUCAAAGGAAUUGACGGGGGCCCGCACAAGCGGUGGAGUAUGUGGUUUAAUUCGAUGCAACGCGAAGAACCUUACCA
This 838-nucleotide ribosomal RNA is filed under the name Limnoraphis sp. PMC 1194.19. RNAcentral's name for it is "bacterial SSU rRNA". It matches the Rfam family "Bacterial small subunit ribosomal RNA", at positions 106 to 976 of the family's 1533-position model. The record is from RNAcentral. Lineage: Bacteria; Bacillati; Cyanobacteriota; Cyanophyceae; Oscillatoriales; Sirenicapillariaceae.